This 1357-nucleotide ribosomal RNA is filed under the name Klebsiella pneumoniae. RNAcentral describes it as "bacterial SSU rRNA". It matches the Rfam family "Bacterial small subunit ribosomal RNA", at positions 79 to 1431 of the family's 1533-position model. Lineage: Bacteria; Pseudomonadati; Pseudomonadota; Gammaproteobacteria; Enterobacterales; Enterobacteriaceae. The record is from RNAcentral.
UGCUCUCGGGUGACGAGCGGCGGACGGGUGAGUAAUGUCUGGGAAACUGCCUGAUGGAGGGGGAUAACUACUGGAAACGGUAGCUAAUACCGCAUAACGUCGCAAGACCAAAGUGGGGGACCUUCGGGCCUCAUGCCAUCAGAUGUGCCCAGAUGGGAUUAGCUAGUAGGUGGGGUAACGGCUCACCUAGGCGACGAUCCCUAGCUGGUCUGAGAGGAUGACCAGCCACACUGGAACUGAGACACGGUCCAGACUCCUACGGGAGGCAGCAGUGGGGAAUAUUGCACAAUGGGCGCAAGCCUGAUGCAGCCAUGCCGCGUGUAUGAAGAAGGCCUUCGGGUUGUAAAGCACUUUCAGCGGGGAGGAAGGCGAUAAGGUUAAUAACCUUGUCGAUUGACGUUACCCGCAGAAGAAGCACCGGCUAACUCCGUGCCAGCAGCCGCGGUAAUACGGAGGGUGCAAGCGUUAAUCGGAAUUACUGGGCGUAAAGCGCACGCAGGCGGUCUGUCAAGUCGGAUGUGAAAUCCCCGGGCUCAACCUGGGAACUGCAUUCGAAACUGGCAGGCUAGAGUCUUGUAGAGGGGGGUAGAAUUCCAGGUGUAGCGGUGAAAUGCGUAGAGAUCUGGAGGAAUACCCGGUGGCGAAGGCGGCCCCCCUGGACAAAGACUGACGCUCAGGUGCGAAAGCGUGGGGAGCAAACAGGAUUAGAUACCCUGGUAGUCCACGCCGUAAACGAUGUCGAUUUGGAGGUUGUGCCCUUGAGGCGUGGCUUCCGGAGCUAACGCGUUAAAUCGACCGCCUGGGGAGUACGGCCGCAAGGUUAAAACUCAAAUGAAUUGACGGGGGCCCGCACAAGCGGUGGAGCAUGUGGUUUAAUUCGAUGCAACGCGAAGAACCUUACCUGGUCUUGACAUCCACAGAACUUAGCAGAGAUGCUUUGGUGCCUUCGGGAACUGUGAGACAGGUGCUGCAUGGCUGUCGUCAGCUCGUGUUGUGAAAUGUUGGGUUAAGUCCCGCAACGAGCGCAACCCUUAUCCUUUGUUGCCAGCGGUUCGGCCGGGAACUCAAAGGAGACUGCCAGUGAUAAACUGGAGGAAGGUGGGGAUGACGUCAAGUCAUCAUGGCCCUUACGACCAGGGCUACACACGUGCUACAAUGGCAUAUACAAAGAGAAGCGACCUCGCGAGAGCAAGCGGACCUCAUAAAGUAUGUCGUAGUCCGGAUUGGAGUCUGCAACUCGACUCCAUGAAGUCGGAAUCGCUAGUAAUCGUAGAUCAGAAUGCUACGGUGAAUACGUUCCCGGGCCUUGUACACACCGCCCGUCACACCAUGGGAGUGGGUUGCAAAAGAAGUAGGU